This 339-nucleotide unclassified non-coding RNA is filed under the name soil metagenome. RNAcentral's name for it is "partial contains 5.8S ribosomal RNA, internal transcribed spacer 2, and large subunit ribosomal RNA". The stretch from base 1 to 120 matches the Rfam family "5.8S ribosomal RNA", at positions 35 to 154 of the family's 154-position model. The record is from RNAcentral.
GAUGAAGAACGUAGCGAAAUGCGAUAAGUAGUGUGAAUUGCAGAAUUCAGUGAAUCAUCGAAUCUUUGAACGCACAUUGCGCCCUUUGGUAUUCCUUAGGGCAUGCCUGUUCGAGCGUCAUUUAAACCUUCAAGCUCAGCUUGGUGUUGGGUGACUGUCCGCCGCCUCCGGGCGGUCGGACUCGCCUCAAAUUGAUUGGCGGCCGGUACUUUGGCUUCGAGCGCAUCAGAAACGCGAACUCGAGGCCGUCGUCCUGGCUCCCAGAAGCUAUCUUCACAAUUUUGACCUCGGAUCAGGUAGGGAUACCCGCUGAACUUAAGCAUAUCAAUAAGCGGAGGA